UGCGCAGGCUGUUUUGUAAGUCAGAUGUGAAAUCCCCGAGCUCAACUUGGGAACUGCGUUUGAAACUACAAGACUAGAAUAUGUCAGAGGGGGGUAGAAUUCCACGUGUAGCAGUGAAAUGCGUAGAGAUGUGGAGGAAUACCGAUGGCGAAGGCAGCCCCCUGGGUCGAUACUGACGCUCAUGCACGAAAGCGUGGGGAGCAAACAGGAUUAGAUGCCCCGGUA
RNAcentral lists this ribosomal RNA (225 nucleotides) under uncultured Methylophilus sp. Its description in RNAcentral is "partial 16S ribosomal RNA". It matches the Rfam family "Bacterial small subunit ribosomal RNA", at positions 568 to 792 of the family's 1533-position model. Lineage: Bacteria; Pseudomonadati; Pseudomonadota; Betaproteobacteria; Nitrosomonadales; Methylophilaceae. The record is from RNAcentral.